UACGUAGGGUGCAAGCGUUAAUCGGAAUUACUGGGCGUAAAGCGUGCGCAGGCGGCUUUGCAAGACAGAGGUGAAAUCCCCGGGCUCAACCUGGAAACUGCCUUUGUGACUGCAAGGCUAGAGUACGGCAGAGGGGGAUGGAAUUCCGCGUGUAGCAGUGAAACGCGUGGAUAUGCGGAGGAACACCGAUGGCGAAGGCAAUCCCCUGGGCCUGUACUGACGCUCAUGCACGAAAGCGUGGGGAGCAAACAGGAUUAGAUACCCCGGUAGU
RNAcentral lists this ribosomal RNA (271 nucleotides) under uncultured bacterium. RNAcentral's name for it is "partial 16S ribosomal RNA". It matches the Rfam family "Bacterial small subunit ribosomal RNA", at positions 524 to 794 of the family's 1533-position model. The record is from RNAcentral.